This 468-nucleotide ribosomal RNA is filed under the name Filifactor alocis. Its description in RNAcentral is "bacterial SSU rRNA". It matches the Rfam family "Bacterial small subunit ribosomal RNA", at positions 9 to 459 of the family's 1533-position model. The record is from RNAcentral. Lineage: Bacteria; Bacillati; Bacillota; Clostridia; Peptostreptococcales; Filifactoraceae.
GAGUUUGAUUCUGGCUCAGGAUGAACGCGGCGGCGUGCUUAACACAUGCAAGUCGAACGAACGACUAUUAACAGAACCUUUCGGGGCGAAGAAUAUAGAAGUUAGUGGCGGACGGGUGCGUAACGCGUGGGUAAUCUGCCUUUGUCAAAGGAAUAACUAUUCGAAAGAAUAGCUAAAACCGUAUAACAUAUUAAUAGGGCAUCCUAAUAAUAUCAAAACGAUAGUGGACAAAGAUGAGCCCGCGUCUGAUUAGCUAGUUGGUGAGAUAAAAGCCCACCAAGGCAACGAUCAGUAGCCGACCUGAGAGGGUGAACGGCCACAUUGGAACUGAGACACGGUCCAAACUCCUACGGGAGGCAGCAGUGGGGAAUAUUGCACAAUGGGGGGAACCCUGAUGCAGCAACGCCGCGUGAGUGAAGAAGGCAUUCGUGUCGUAAAACUCUGUAGUAGGGGAAGAAAGAAAUGACA